Molecule: ribosomal RNA, 263 nt
Filed under: uncultured bacterium
Lineage: Bacteria
Description: partial 16S ribosomal RNA
Rfam family: Bacterial small subunit ribosomal RNA
Source: RNAcentral
CGACCGGCGGACGGGUGCGUAACGCGUAUGCAACCUGCCUGACACAGGGGGAUAAUCCGAAGAAAUUUGGUCUAAUACCCCAUAAUACCGAUAUAGGCAUCUAUGUUGGUUGAAAGCUUUGGUGGUGUCAGAUGGGCAUGCGUUGUAUUAGCUAGUUGGUGAGGUAACGGCUCACCAAGGCGACGAUACAUAGGGGGACUGAGAGGUUAACCCCCCCACACUGGUACUGAGACACGGACCAGACUCCUACGGGAGGCAGCAUG